RNAcentral lists this ribosomal RNA (624 nucleotides) under uncultured bacterium. RNAcentral's name for it is "bacterial SSU rRNA". It matches the Rfam family "Bacterial small subunit ribosomal RNA", at positions 103 to 707 of the family's 1533-position model. The record is from RNAcentral.
CGGGUGAGUAACACGUGGGUGACCUGCCUUCGAGUGGGGGAUAACGUCCCGAAAGGGGCGCUAAUACCGCAUGACAUCCUGCGUUUGGAGACGCGGACAUUAAAGCCGGGAUCGCAAGACCUGGCGCUUGAAGAGGGGCCCGCGGCCGAUUAGCUAGUUGGUGAGGUAACGGCUCACCAAGGCAACGAUCGGUAUCCGGCCUGAGAGGGCGGACGGACACACUGGGACUGAGACACGGCCCAGACUCCUACGGGAGGCAGCAGUGGGGAAUUGUUCGCAAUGGGCGCAAGCCUGACGACGCAACGCCGCGUGGAGGACGAAGAUCUUCGGGUCGUAAACUCCUUUCGAUCGGGAAGAACGGCUUCUGGGUGAACAAUCCGGAAGAAUGACGGUACCGAGAGAAGAAGCCCCGGCUAACUCCGUGCCAGCAGCCGCGGUAAUACGGGGGGGGCAAGCGUUGUUCGGAAUUACUGGGCGUAAAGGGCUCGUAGGCGGCCGACUCAGUCGGAUGUGAAAUCCCCAGGCUUAACUUGGGAAUGGCAUCCGAUACUGGUUGGCUUGAAUCCGGGAGAGGGAUGCGGAAUUCCAGGUGUAGCGGUGAAAUGCGUAGAUAUCUGGAGGAAC